This 415-nucleotide ribosomal RNA is filed under the name uncultured bacterium. RNAcentral's name for it is "bacterial SSU rRNA". It matches the Rfam family "Bacterial small subunit ribosomal RNA", at positions 361 to 773 of the family's 1533-position model. The record is from RNAcentral.
AUCUUGCGCAAUGGCCGAAAGGCUGACGCAGCGACGCCGCGUGUGGGAGGAAGCUCUUCGGGGUGUAAACCACUGUUGCCCGGGACGAACGGCACUAUUCGUAGUGCGUGACGGUACCGGGUGAGGAAGCACCGGCUAACUCUGUGCCAGCAGCCGCGGUAAUACAGAGGGUGCGAGCGUUGUCCGGAAUCACUGGGCGUAAAGGGCGCGUAGGCGGUCCAGUAAGCGUGUGGUGAAAGCCCGGGGCUCAACCCCGGGUCGGCCGUGCGAACUGCUGUGACUCGAGCACUGUAGAGGCAGGCGGAAUUCCGGGUGUAGCGGUGGAAUGCGUAGAGAUCCGGAAGAACACCGGUGGCGAAGGCGGCCUGCUGGGCAGUAUAGCUGACGCUGAGGCGCGACAGCGUGGGGAGCAAAC